Long non-coding RNA from Oncorhynchus tshawytscha (Chinook salmon), 2061 nucleotides. The record is from Ensembl. Lineage: Eukaryota; Metazoa; Chordata; Actinopteri; Salmoniformes; Salmonidae.
UCUCUCUCUCUUCCUCUUUCUCCCUCUCUAUUCUAUUCUUCUCUCUCUGUUUAUCUCUCUCACUCGCAGUCUGUCUCACUGUUUCUCUCACUCUCGCAUUCCUCACUCCACCAUGGAUCAUGAAAUCUUCAUGUAACAGUGUAGUCCUUUCUAUCAGCCUUUCUAUCAGUGCACUAAAUAGGUAAUAGAGUGCCAUUUGGGAAGCAGACAAAUCACUUUUGAGUUGACUACAUAAAGUUAACUUUGUUUUCAAAAUUGAAAACAUCAGACACAAAAAAACACCCACACCUGACUGUUUUAAUACUACACUCUUAUAAAAAAAGGUGCUAUCUAGAAACUUAAAGGGUUCUUCGGCUGUCCCCUUAGGAGGAUCAUUGAAAAAACAUUUUUGGUUGCAGGUAGAAUCAUUAUGUGUUCCAUGUAGAACUCUUUCUACAGAGGGUCUACAUGGACCCCAAAAGAGUUCUACCUGGAACCAAAAAAGGGUUCUCCCGUGGGGACAGAUGAAUAACCUUUUUGGAACCUUUUUUCUAAGAGUAAAUAGCACCCAUCCACUAAUCCACUAUACUCCUGACUCGCCACUCCCUUCACCUAGCACUGAGAGUUGGUUAGAGAGAUUAGGUGUUUUAAAGGUAUACCUCCUGGAGGACACAUCUCCAGGGUUAGUCCUUACACACUCCUUAGCGGAUGUGCAAUACCUCCCAAGUAGACUAGGGCUGUGGAGACCAGUCUCACUGGUCUCUAGUAUAUGAGAGAAAGAGAGAGAGGAGGGAUGAGAAAGAGAACAAGCGAGAUUGACAGAACAGAAUACAAUGAGAGAAAAGAGAGUGAUAUACAAUCAGUGAGAGAAAGAGUUAUAGAGUGAGAGUAAGGGAGAGCUAGGUAGGUAGAGAGAGAGAGAACUAGAGAUGGAGAGUAGUGGUGAGCUCUAACAGUAAUUAUCCAGGGGAAUGUCCUGACAUUUGUCCUGACAUUUUCCGAGGCUGCCCUCAAACCAUCUGUGUAAAGAUCCCUAAUGGUACAGCGUGGAACACACACGCAGAUGGCAAGACAAGAGAGCCUGCCUCUCCAACCUUUCCCGCUAAUCAGCUGAUAUGCAGCUCUAGCAGGACAAAGUCGCCCCAGACGCUGAUCUAAGGUCAGUUUUGCAUUACCUCUCCCUAAUGGUUUGGGUUGGAAAUGUGGGCAGGGUAAACUGAUCCCAGAUCAUUUUCUAAUGGCUACUUAUCUCUGACUCAUCAUACAACUGUGAAGGGAACGUUUAUGAUAGGUACUCACACAGAGGAACGGCUGAUGGUAUCCUAAUCCUUGUUCUGUCCUAAUCUUAAUACCAAAUGCCAUUACCAGGUUGUUAAAUACCACACUAGAGAGACAGGUAAGUGAGAGAGUGGGGAUGCAACUUCCUGAAUUGACAAACUUCUACAGAUCCUCAAGAUCACUAGUGUUUAAAUUGGUCCAUGAUCAUGUGACUGUUCCUAAAUCUGUUUCAUUUCAUCAAUCAGUUUCCACUUCCUUGGUGAUCACCUCUGAUCUUUUCUGGGCGACCAGAAAACCCAUCUGAUUAAUACAGUAGAGAACUUUUCUAACUCUAAAGCGAUGUGUUGUGUUAGUUUGUUUGUCAUGGGCUUUUGAAAAGUUUCAGACUAUGACUAUACAAUCUGUCAACGAGAACUUCAAUCAUUAAACUUCAAAACAGUGAAUCCUGUAAAGAUUUAGUGAAUUGAACAGAUGAGGUAUUGAAAGCAGUAUGUUUGAAAAUGAUCUUCAGAGUGUGUGGUUUGGUGCAAGAAUAUGAUACAUUUGCUAAACUCUAGAAAAAUGAGAGGAACAGCAACAGAACCUCUGAUCUUGGACUACAGAGGUUACCCUCCAACCUACCAUGCUUGAGAUGUUGACAUAGCUUCUCAUACAACCAUCAACGCUCUCCCAUUGGUGUUACAAAAGAAAGUCCCUCCUUCCUUUUCCUCCCACAUUCAUGGGUUUUUAUACAUAAGACUGUACAAAGUAGUCCUCUGUUUUCAUAGAGUGUCUUUUUUAUAUGAAAAUAAAUUUUCAAAUUGA